GGAGGCCUAAGUGUGACCCAGGGCUGCAAGGGCCGAUCCUGGGUCCACCGUGUGGACAACUGCUGGGGAAACUGAGGCCCACAAGUACCGAGUCGGCAGCUGGGUGCCCGCUGGGGCUCUGCGGUACCCCUUUUGCCCUGGGGUGUUCCCAAGGCACCUCUCUAUCCUCAGCCACAGCUGAGGCUUGCCCUGAGUUUUGUGGAUCUCCCUGGAGAGUGAUGUCCUCUCUUUUAUAGAUCUGCUGUGGUAUCAGUUCAUGCCCUGCCUUCCUGCAGAGUCAUCCAUCCAAUGAGUACCUACCUACCAAGCACUUUGAUGCUCAGCGUGCCUCGCUCUAAAGAAUGUUCGUGAAAGAACUGCCCAAGUAAAUGGGACUUUGGCAAAUCAUAAAAGAAGUCAGAUUGCCAUAGCCUGAAGAAGCAAGGGACUGACUGCUCCAGUCUUGGAGGUAUGGAAGUGGUGGUUGGAGAACUGAAGAGUGCCUGAAUUUAAUCUCUGGAACCCACAUGAUGGAAGGAGAAAACCAACUCCUGAAAAUUGUCCUUUGACCUCCAUAUGCAAGCUGUGGAAGCAUUGACCCUCUAGCCUGGGUACAAACAACUGAGAAUUCACCAAGGCUUGCUGUGGCGAAGAAUCUGGCGCAAGCUGUCUGAAGCAGAAGUAUCUGGAGCAGUGCCUUUUGGAGCUGGAGCUGUACUUUGGCAGCAAGCAGCUGUGGUCGCAGUGUAGCUUUCUCAAGACAUCCGUGAAGUGUUCAAAGCAGCCUGCUGGCGUGAGGGCUGUCCAGCUGGCUGCCAAAUAGGGGCUGCUUGGCUAGCAAGCCUGGGCCCAAGGCAGCCUGGGCAGAAGGGAAGCUUCUAACAACUGUCAAUUAGAGAGUCAAAUUGCCCUGGCCACAAGCAUCUUAGUGAAAGAGAGAGAGAGAAAGGGAGGGAGAGGAAGAGGGAGGGAGAGAGAGAGGCAUUCAAAAGAGAGCUAACAAUGAAGGCCUAUCAUUACCAUUAACAGUGCCUAUUUAACUGUAUGCAGCAGUCCUAGCAAGGCCCAACUCCUGCUCUGAUGCCCCAGGGAGAGAUGGGUCCCUCUGAUCUGCAAGAGUCAGGAAGGACCACCCUUUGUUGUCCGUAAAGGGACUUUUUAUAGAUUUAUUUUCUUGUCCUUAUUUUCAAAAUACUGAUCAGAACCAACUUGGGAAGAAUGGUUUAUUUUGGCUCAUGGUUCCAUAGGGCCACAGAUCGUCCAUUAUGUCAGGGACAGCCAAGCAUAACACAUGGGUUCUUGGUGGUAGUAGCUUGUAGUGGUAAUAGCUUUUUAUAUCUUGACCAAUUAAGAAGCAGAAAACUCAGUGCAAAACUAGAAACUAACAAAACCUUCAAAGGUCUACCUCUAGAGACCUGCUUCCUUCAAUAAGACUCCAUCUUUUAAAUAGUGCCAGCAGCUGGAAACAGUGAAGCAUAAGCUAGGCCCUAUGCCCAGCCCCUAGUACUGCAGAAAACAAAUAAUGAUAAUAAUGAUGAUGAUAACAGGAAUAAUGGGGAUCACCACCACCACCAUCAUCAUGACCACCAUCAUCACCAUCACCAUGACCACCAUCAUCACCAUCACCAUGGCCAUCAUCAUCACCACCAUCAUCACCAUCACCAUGACCACCAUCAUCACCAUCACCAUGGCCAUCAUCAUUGCCAUCAUCAACACCAUCACCAUGACCAUUACCAUGAUUAUCAUCAUCACCAUCACCAUGACCAUCAUCAUCGCCAUCAUUAACACCAUUAUCAAGACCUCUGUGAUUCAUAGUUUCAACUACAUUUCUAUGGAUACCUACUGAGUAUUUUCCUCCUGAUAAAUUUGAUUUGGUUUCUCUCUGAUUUAAGAGAGGGUAUACACUUUCAAAGCUUUUACUAUGUUUUGACAAAUCCCACUUUAAAAAGCUGAUGCCAGUGUUUCCAUAGCUAUGGACUGUGGCUUUCCCUUUAAAGCUGGUGAAUAGUUACAACAGUCACUGGUCUCAUGUUCUUGACCAUCCAGGGCCAUUCAGCCUAUCUUCUCUUUUGUGGCCCAGAGGCUCUAACACUGAAACAUGAGGCUAGCUUGCUUUUAUCUAUCCCCAGUACUUUCAACUCUUCUCUGUUUUCUGCUCAUUUGUUUGAUUGUUUUUACUUGGUUGUCUGCUCCUUACAGCACAGGUCUGAGGUUAAAUUUGAGGACCCUCUGCCAGCAACAUCCUGUAAAGCAUUGUUUACUUUCUAAUAAGAUGUUAUUUUUCAGGGGCUGGAGAAAUGGCUCAGAGGUUAAGAGCACUGGCUGCUCUUUCAGAGGACCUAGGCUCAAUUCCCAGCACCCACAAGGCAGCUCAGAACUGUCAGUAACUCCAGUUCCAGUGGAUCCAACACCCUCACACAGACAUACGUGCAGGCAAAACACCAAUGCGCAUGAAAUAAAAUUUUUUUCUAAAUAAAGAUGCCAUUUUCAGUAUCAAAUUGGUCGGACAUUUGGUUCAACCUUUGCAAAUGCAAGCUUAAGUGUCUUUCUGUUGCAUUACACAAGUCUCUCUCCACCAGAACCCCACAAGGGUGUUCUUAGAAGAUCGAGCUGGUGGCUGCUACUGCUUCCUCAUUCAUCCUGGUGAUCAGAGGGAGUGAAGCUGCCUUACUGUUUUGCUUGCCUCGGGCCGUACCAGGGGAACUUCAGACUGAGUGCCUUAUUUUAAGCACAGCACUGAUGAACUGAAGUACUCAGAGGAGGGGAAACGGAGCUGGCUUACAAUCGGGCAGAGGACCUAAUGAGAGGAGCUUUGAAGAGCUGUCCGUUCUCCAUCACUCCUCAAGACAAGCAUAGGGCCAGCGCAUGCUCUGUGAAGCCAGAUCUUGUCUCUUCCUUUCUUCUUCCCUCCCUUCCUCCCUUUCUCCUUUCCUUCCUGGUCAUGGUGUGGAAAUCAAAGUCAAGGACUUCUGCAUACUAAGUAGAUGAUCUGCCACCCCCCACCAUCCCCACUUCCUGAGUAGCCUAUAUCUUUAUAAUUUAUUUAUUGUUUUGAGGCUGUUUGGUUUUUUUUGUUUGGUUGGUUUGGUUUGGUUUUUAGAGACAAGGCUUCCUCUGUAGACCAGACUAGCCUCGAACUCACAGAGGUACACCUGCCUCUGCCUCCUGAAUGCUGGUGUAUGCCACCUUGUCUGGCUUUUGUUCUAUUUUGUGGCAAAGUCCCAUGUAGCCCUGGCGGGCCUUGAACUCAUUGUUAUUAGAAAUGAGUCUGAAACCAGAGAAAAGAACUAUACUAUCCAAACUAUUUCAGCAAGACAGUGUGUUCCUUCUUGAGGAGCCUGCAGGGCUAUACUUCAACAAGCAAGCACACCCUGACAGCAAGCAACCAGGGGAGGGUCCCACUGGGUUUUAUUCCUAUAACGAAGAGCUCCUGAGCCUCACUGACGGGUCAGAGCCCUGCCCCAUCCUCUUCAUGGUUGGCCAAAGACAGGACAUUCCAUUCUACAUUCCCCAUGCUUUGUAACCAGGGUUGGCCUUGAACUAGAGGGUAUGCCCUGCUUCAGUCUCUGUAAGCAGUGGGAUCGCAGGAGAGCACCAACCCACAUACCCACCAAUAUAAAGAGACUUAAACAACUAUAAACAAUUAGAACUGUCCAAAAAUACAAAAUGACACCUACAUUGAAUUUACCCCUACUCCCCACUACACAUACCCCUCACCCUCAAUCCCCACUUCCCCACCCCCCUACUGCCCCAUUACUGGGAAGAUUCAAAUAGUGUUAACCUGCAGUUCUGAAAUAAAUGCAUCCUAGAAGUAGAUCUAGGGGCUGGAGAGAGGUGGCUGCUCUUCCAGAAGACCUGAGUUUAGUUCCCAGCACCCACAUGGCAGCUCACAACUGUCUGUAACUCCAGUUCCAGGAGAUCUGACUCCCUAUUUGGCCUUCAUGUCAUGAACAUACAUACAUAUAGGCAGACAUACAAUUUUAAAAAAUUAAUUUAAUAAACACUAAAGAUGCUUCA
This is a long non-coding RNA of Peromyscus californicus insignis, 3996 nucleotides long. RefSeq lists it as uncharacterized. NCBI's taxonomy places the organism in Eukaryota, Metazoa, Chordata, Mammalia, Rodentia, Cricetidae. The transcript has 2 exons. The record is from RefSeq and is a predicted model, not a curated record.